GUGGGGAGGCAUUUAUGUUUCGAAACUUCUCUGUUUAAUUCUCUGAUUUCACCUCUAUUUCGUGCAUAAAGACAACUUUUGGAUGAUUUCAGAUGUCCCUCCAUGACAGAUCAGUAUCACAACCACAAGUAGUGUUUGUUGAAGAAGGGAUCGAUAGGAAGAGACCAGCUAGAGAUGUUUCACAAAAGUAUAAUGACAAGUACUGAGCUAUGAAUUCAGUUCACCUCACCACCAUCCCCAUUUCCAAGCAAGAACCAGCAAGAUCUAGAGAAUAUCAGGAUCGCAUCAUCAGAGAUGUUUUUCCUUGUGUAGCGACAAAUGCUGAGCUAUGGAUUCACUUCACCUCAACGCCAUCCCCAAUUUCUAGGAAGGAUCAAUUCAUAUUGUGAACUUAUAGAGGAUCAACAUUGAAAACAAACCGGCAACAGAGCUAAAGACAGCGACUGGCCAGGAUGGUGCUGGCAAGCUGCGACAACGUGCACUACUGUUGGGGGAGGAACUGGAGCCAAGCAUAUCCAGCCGUGCUGAAGACCAUGAUUGGGUCCAUGUAUAGUUGACCAGAAGGACGCGUAAUGAAGUUACGGAGCAGGAGCCGCAUGAUUGGGGCAAGUGAUGGCGUGGUAACCAUGGACAGCGCCAAAGGGAGACGUAAGAAUGACAGAGUGAGGACAGGAGAUACAUCUACCACCAAUCUGACAGCAGACUUACGCAAGGGAACGACUGUCUUGGGAGCACCGUUUGCAGACUUGAUGCAAAUGACCUGAGCAAAAGAAUGAAGCUGGCAAUGCUGGCUUGAGACUGGUGUUCCACUUAAUAUCUGUAUACUCUUUCAUGUCAAUUGUAAAUUAGUGUUGCUUGAUUGAUAGAUAGACUUGGCUCUUUUUUUUGGAGCAGUACAGUUGCAAGAUAAAUCCUGUUUGUAAUUUUAUAAAUCAGUUGCUCAUUAAGGGCUUACGAAGGUUUUGAUGCCUUGCUGGCUUAUCUGCAUACCAGUAAAUAUGUGCAGAUUCAUUUCUUGCUUUGAAGCAAUAUCGUUGCUACACUCCUAAAGCAGUGGCAAUGUUCAGGUCUGUUCUGCCUUGCGGGCAAAUCU
Long non-coding RNA from Lineus longissimus, 1093 nucleotides. RefSeq lists it as uncharacterized. The record is from RefSeq and is a predicted model, not a curated record. The transcript is spliced from 6 exons. NCBI's taxonomy places the organism in Eukaryota, Metazoa, Nemertea, Pilidiophora, Heteronemertea, Lineidae.